Molecule: ribosomal RNA, 408 nt
Filed under: uncultured bacterium
Lineage: Bacteria
Description: partial 16S ribosomal RNA
Rfam family: Bacterial small subunit ribosomal RNA
Source: RNAcentral
GACGAACGCUGGCGGCGUGCUUAACACAUGCAAGUCGAACGGAGUGGCGAACGGGUGAGUAACACGUGGGUGAUUUGCCGUGCACUUCGGGAUAAGCUUGGGAAACUGGGUCUAAUACCGGAUAGUGCAAGAUGAGCUCGCGGCCUAUCAGCUUGUUGGUGGGGUACUGGCCUACCAAGGCGUCGACGGGUAGCCGGCCUGGGAGGGUGUACGGCCACAUUGGGACUGAGGUACGGCCCAGACUCCUACGGGGGGCAGCAGUGGGGAAUAUUGCACAAUCUGCGGAAGCCUGAUGCAGCGACGCCGCGUUGGGGAUGAAGGCCUUCGGGGUGUAAACGCCUUUCGACAGGGACGCGGUACCUGUAUAAGAAGCACCGGCUAACUACGUGCCAGCAGCCGCGGUAAUUC